Molecule: ribosomal RNA, 453 nt
Filed under: uncultured bacterium
Lineage: Bacteria
Description: bacterial SSU rRNA
Rfam family: Bacterial small subunit ribosomal RNA
Source: RNAcentral
GUCAAGGGGGUUGGAGCAAUCCAGCAACCGGCGAACGGGUGCGUAACACGUGAGCGACCUACCCAGUGAUGGGGGAUAGCCGGCCCAACGGCCGGGUAAUACCGCAUACGCGUCUUCGGGGGCCUCCCUGGGGACGGAAACCUACGGGGUCAUUGGAGGGGCUCGCGGCCUAUCAGCUAGUUGGCGAGGUAACGGCUCACCAAGGCGAUGACGGGUAGCUGGUCUGAGAGGAUGGCCAGCCACAUUGGGACUGAGAGACGGCCCAGACUCCUACGGGAGGCAGCAGUGGGGAAUCUUGCGCAAUGGCCGAAAGGCUGACGCAGCGACGCCGCGUGGAGGAUGACGCCCUUCGGGGUGUAAACUCCUGUUGCCCGGGACGAAUACCUGUUUCGACAGGGGUGACGGUACCGGGUGAGGAAGCACCGGCUAACUCUGUGCCAGCCGCCGCGGUAA